UCCGAUAAAGGCAAACCAUGAGUGAUCGUGGGGCGCAAAGCAAAGGGUCUUUAAGCUCACACGGAUGUAGUUGAGGGACACCUUGAUGAUAAAAAGACAGCCUUACUGCCGAAG
Molecule: non-coding RNA, 114 nt
Filed under: Planctomycetota bacterium
Lineage: Bacteria; Pseudomonadati; Planctomycetota
Description: Planctomycetes bacterium c-di-GMP sequence
Rfam family: c-di-GMP-I riboswitch aptamer
About the family: GEMM was predicted in a large-scale screen for bacterial structured RNA regulatory elements. Genes associated with GEMM are involved in a diverse array of functions, including chemotaxis regulation, signal transduction, secretion and chitin.
Source: RNAcentral